Oncorhynchus tshawytscha (Chinook salmon) is the source of this 1406-nucleotide long non-coding RNA. RefSeq lists it as uncharacterized. Lineage: Eukaryota; Metazoa; Chordata; Actinopteri; Salmoniformes; Salmonidae. The record is from RefSeq and is a predicted model, not a curated record. The transcript is spliced from 2 exons.
AGAAGUCGCAAGAUGGCGUCAUUACGUAAAAAUGACGUCACUUUUACACUUACGCUGUCCCUCAGUCUCUCAUGCAAUGACAAAUUCUCCAAAGUAAAAAAAAACAUGUUUGAAGGAGAACAAAAAGGAACCGAUUAAAUAAUUAGACAGCACAGAAAAAAAAUGUAAGGUAGAUAAAUGUAUAUUUUUUUACUUAAAACAAAAAAAAAGAUUAUUUAUGCCUUGGAGAGCUGUGGUUCCAUUUAACAACAAGUACCGGAUUUAAUACAUUCGCUCCACUCGCUGCAGCAACGUGGAGAGGACAAGAGGCUAGAGGGGAGAGAGGCUAGGGAGGGUGCAGAGAGUGGCGGGGGAAGGGGCGCAAGUGACCGCUGCACACACACGCGGAGCCUCAGAGAGGGAGCAGACUGCAGAGCAGUAGUGCUGAGUAAUGCAGGCCUGGUUUCGACCAGACAGAGAAUGGAUGCUCCUGAGUGAGUACUCCCACAGGGACUAAGCAGAGAGCCUCUGUCCUGGUGCGGUCACACAGCAAGAGAGAGGGGGGUAGAGGUCGGGCUGACAUCCAGUGCAACCCUUCAACCUCCAGGACAGCCAGGGAGAGUUGAGCUCCAUCUGCUCCUGUCCGUGUGUCUGCAGUGUCGGUGCCAGGCUCCACAUGCCACUCAGCAGCAGAACAGAGCCUUAGCCUUACUUCUCCUGCGCCACCCUGUCCUGCCAACACUGCAGAACAGUUAGGCAGUGCCUUUACUGUGAUAAUGGGACUUGGGACGGGGAGUGCGGCAGACUGGCUGGGCAGGACGGUGUCCCAUGCUGCUCUCCCACUCUAUCAGUGGCUCGUGUAUUACUUUACUCAGUCUGUGGGAUCUCAAGUGAAACUGUUCAAGUUCUUAUCAUAGAGGCGUCAUAGAGGCAGGUGUCAUGACCAUAGGGGGCACAAGGUCAUGUGCCCCCUCAGAUUUGUCCUGUUUAAAAUUAUCCAGAUAUUUCAGAUGUUCAAUUAAUUACUAAACUUCCUUUUCAAGUGCAGGUUUUAUAAUUAUUUAUCAAAAUAUCUAUAAGCUGUAUUGCGGAGGUGCCACACUGACUGAACCAAGCAAAGAGUACACCUCCCCUAUUUUCCCUAGCAAGUGGUUCUUUGUGCAUGUGACAAAUAACACUUGAAACUUCCUUCCAAGGAGCAAAGAUAUGCUAGAUAGUCUAUGUCUAGUGCGUGCAGACAGUAUCGUCAGUGGAGGAGGAGAGAGUGUAGAGUGAUACCAGCUCCAUACAAACACACAGCAUUUGAUUUUAGCUGUCGAUGAUGGGCAGGAUUCGCAGGAGGUAUAUUUGUAAAUUAAUUGUUUGUAAAUUAAUCAAGCUAUGUAGCCUAUUUAAGCCUUCUUGGUGAAUAAAUACAACCAAUAUGC